CCUGGAUGUGGACGUAGGCACC
RNAcentral lists this microRNA (22 nucleotides) under Equus caballus (horse). RNAcentral's name for it is "eca-miR-8911". The record is from miRBase by way of RNAcentral. Lineage: Eukaryota; Metazoa; Chordata; Mammalia; Perissodactyla; Equidae.